GUGGGGAAUAUUGGUCAAUGGACGAGAGUCUGAACCAGCCAAGUAGCGUGCAGGAUGACGGCCCUAUGGGUUGUAAACUGCUUUUGUGCGGGAAUAACGUUGUGCUCGUGAGCGCAAGUGCAUGUACCGUACGAAUAAGGAUCGGCUAACUCCGUGCCAGCAGCCGCGGUAAUACGGAGGAUCCGAGCGUUAUCCGGAUUUAUUGGGUUUAAAGGGAGCGUAGGCGGAAGAUCAAGUCAGCUGUGAAAUGUAGACGCUCAACGUCUGCACUGCAGUUGAAACUGGUUUUCUUGAGUGCGUAAGGGGCAGGCGGAAUUCGUCGUGUAGCGGUGAAAUGCUUAGAUAUGACGAAGAACUCCGAUCGCGAAGGCAGCUUGCCGGGCCGCAACUGACGCUGAAGCUCGAAGGUGCGGGUAUCGAACAGG
This 425-nucleotide ribosomal RNA is filed under the name uncultured rumen bacterium. RNAcentral's name for it is "bacterial SSU rRNA". It matches the Rfam family "Bacterial small subunit ribosomal RNA", at positions 354 to 776 of the family's 1533-position model. The record is from RNAcentral.